UACGUAGGGUGCAAGCGUUAAUCGGAAUUACUGGGCGUAAAGCGUGCGCAGGCGGUGAUGUAAGACAGAUGUGAAAUCUCCCGGCUCAACUGGGAGGGUGCGCCGAAGACUGGAAGGCUUGAGUAUGGGAGAGGUAAGCGGAAUUCCUGGUGUAGCGGUGAAAUGCGUAGAUAUCAGGAGGAACACCUGCGGUGUAGACGGCUUACUGGACCAUAACUGACGCUGAGGCACGAAAGCGUGGGUAGCAAACAGG
Molecule: ribosomal RNA, 253 nt
Filed under: uncultured bacterium
Lineage: Bacteria
Description: partial 16S ribosomal RNA
Rfam family: Bacterial small subunit ribosomal RNA
Source: RNAcentral